UACCAGCACCCCGAGUGGUCGGGACGUUUAUUGGGCCUAAAGCAUCCGUAGCCGGUUCUACAAGUCUUCCGUUAAAUCCACCUGCUUAACAGACGGGCUGCGGAAGAUACUAUAGAGCUAGGAGGCGGGAGAGGCAAGCGGUACUCGAUGGGUAGGGGUAAAAUCCGUUGAUCCAUUGAAGACCACCAGUGGCGAAGGCGGCUUGCCAGAACGCGCUCGACGGUGAGGGAUGAAAGCUGGGGGAGCAAACCGG
This 253-nucleotide ribosomal RNA is filed under the name uncultured bacterium. RNAcentral's name for it is "partial 16S ribosomal RNA". It matches the Rfam family "Archaeal small subunit ribosomal RNA", at positions 474 to 727 of the family's 1478-position model. The record is from RNAcentral.